Molecule: non-coding RNA, 284 nt
Organism: Arachis ipaensis
Lineage: Eukaryota; Viridiplantae; Streptophyta; Magnoliopsida; Fabales; Fabaceae
Source: RefSeq, a predicted model, not a curated record
AUUGAUUUCUGGUUCAUGCGAUACUCCUCAAGCUUUUGAAGCUCUUGAGAGAAGUUCUACAAAUACGGGAAGAAGGCACCUGAGGCUAAGAUUGGAACACAGAUUCAUAAUUUCUUAUAAAUAUAAAUCAAGCUAGAGCAUUAACAGCUUCUCAUAUCAGAUUAUAUUGUUCUAGUAUGAUUUUCAAAUGAAAAAAAUAUGCAAUCCAUGAAUUACCUUUUUCAAUGAUUUGGAGUGCUUACAGCUAAAGAACCACACUCAGCAAUGCUUUUGUUCUGCAUAAA